CAGGAAGUAUUACUUUACUGAGAGGGUAGUUGGUGCAUGCAAUAGUCUUCCAGCUGAAGAGGUUAACACCGUAAAGGAGUUUAAGAAUGCAUGGGAUAGGCAUAAGGCGAUCCUAACUAUAAGAUAAGGCCAGGGAAUAAUGAAAGUAUUUAGAAAAUUGGGCAGACUAGAUGGGCCGAAUGGUUCUUAUCUACCGUCACAUUCUAUGUUUCCAACAUCCAGGAACAACAGUGAACUGUCC
Molecule: non-coding RNA, 241 nt
Organism: Pelobates cultripes (western spadefoot toad)
Lineage: Eukaryota; Metazoa; Chordata; Amphibia; Anura; Pelobatidae
Source: the annotation of a GenBank genome assembly